UUUAGCUGGCGUGGGCUCCUUUUCGUCCAUGCUCUCUGGUUAAAUCCAGUGCCAUCGCGCUUCUUGUGAGUCCCAGCGAGAGAAUGCGAAGGGAAGAGGCAGGACCAAACUUGAGGCGAAUCCAGUGGCAUGCCGAUGGGUCUCCAGGUAUGUGACCUCAGAGGAGCUUGAAUGAGAAUGUAAUACCAAGAUAAGUCGACUUUCAGUUCAACUGACUCUUUCCUGCAAGAUCCUUUGCCGCAGUGGGGGAAUUAAGAAGGGAAUAAGAUGGCAAGAAUGAGUCCAACAUUUCCAAGCAAGAUUGUUCUUUUUCCCUUUUUGUUUACUUUGUCCAGACUCUAGCCAAAAAGAUUCAUCUCAAGGAAUUAUAUUCUUGGAGAUGUUGGAAAAAGAUUCCUGGGUCUUGGAAGAUAAUUACUAGAAAUAUGCAGGGGAGGAAUAAAAUUGAAAGGUGUUUUUCUUAGAGAACACCAUUUGUCAGAUUUAUCAGGAAUUUGAAGAUUUAUAGAAGGAACAGAAAGCCGCUGAUGGUUGAAAUGGAGCAUAUACUUCUUUGGAUUGAGGACUGUAAUCAAAAACAAAUCCCAGUCAGUUUGGCAUUGAAGUUAGUUGCUGCACUGAAGGAAAAUGGUAAUUACAAGGACAUCUAUUUACUGCCAGUAAAGGCUGGUUUCCUUGUUUCAGAAGUCAACAUGAAUUGAUUAAUGUUAAGCUACCUGGUGAAGCUACAAGCUCAGAUAAGGAUGCUACUGUGAAAUUUGCACUCAAGAUUCCAAGAAUUACAGGCAGUCCUUGCUUUGCACAGUAGCGAGAGACUGUACUAUGCAAAAAAACUGCAGGAUUUGGAUGGGAUGUAAAUGGAGUUAGAAGAUAAAGAAUAUCCUGGGAAUGUUGACACUGGUGCCAUUCAAGAAAUAGUUCUAGAUACGCAGGAGGCAGAAGGCAGCGAAGGCGAAUAUAAAGUUUUACGUGAGUAAAGCAGUCGUAAAGGAUGAACGUCUCAGAAGUCAUGCUGUUGAAAAACUUCACAUUGAAGGAACUUUCAGAGAUGUUUCAUGACAUUGACAGCACAAAGGAUAAAAUUUUGGAAGCUGAUUCAAACUUAGAAAGGAGUAUGACAGUUCGCCAAGGCAGAGAUAAGAUGCUCACUCCAUGUUAUAAGUCAUAUAAUGUGAAGAAAGCAAGCACUUUUCAAACUACUUGAUACAUUUUUUAUAAAGAAA
Mesoplodon densirostris (Blainville's beaked whale) is the source of this 1223-nucleotide long non-coding RNA. RefSeq lists it as uncharacterized. The transcript has 6 exons. The record is from RefSeq and is a predicted model, not a curated record. NCBI's taxonomy places the organism in Eukaryota, Metazoa, Chordata, Mammalia, Artiodactyla, Ziphiidae.